Molecule: ribosomal RNA, 465 nt
Filed under: Vreelandella stevensii
Lineage: Bacteria; Pseudomonadati; Pseudomonadota; Gammaproteobacteria; Oceanospirillales; Halomonadaceae
Description: partial 16S ribosomal RNA
Rfam family: Bacterial small subunit ribosomal RNA
Source: RNAcentral
CCUACGGGUGGCAGCAGUGGGGAAUAUUGGACAAUGGGGGGAACCCUGAUCCAGCCAUGCCGCGUGUGUGAAGAAGGCCCUCGGGUUGUAAAGCACUUUCAGUGAGGAAGAACGCCUGGUGGUUAAUACCCAUCAGGAAAGACAUCACUCACAGAAGAAGCACCGGCUAACUCCGUGCCAGCAGCCGCGGUAAUACGGAGGGUGCGAGCGUUAAUCGGAAUUACUGGGCGUAAAGCGCGCGUAGGUGGCUUGAUAAGCCGGUUGUGAAAGCCCCGGGCUCAACCUGGGAACGGCAUCCGGAACUGUCAAGCUAGAGUGCAGGAGAGGAAGGUAGAAUUCCCGGUGAAGCGGUGAAAUGCGUAGAGAUCGGGAGGAAUACCAGUGGCGAAGGUGGCCUUCUGGACUGACACUGACACUGAGGUGCGAAAGCGUGGGUAGCAAACAGGAUUAGAUACCCCUGUAGUC